This 564-nucleotide ribosomal RNA is filed under the name Pseudomonas aeruginosa. Its description in RNAcentral is "partial 23S ribosomal RNA". It matches the Rfam family "Bacterial large subunit ribosomal RNA", at positions 2367 to 2925 of the family's 2925-position model. Lineage: Bacteria; Pseudomonadati; Pseudomonadota; Gammaproteobacteria; Pseudomonadales; Pseudomonadaceae. The record is from RNAcentral.
GCUUGACUGCGAGACAGACACGUCGAGCAGGUACGAAAGUAGGUCUUAGUGAUCCGGUGGUUCUGUAUGGAAGGGCCAUCGCUCAACGGAUAAAAGGUACUCCGGGGAUAACAGGCUGAUACCGCCCAAGAGUUCAUAUCGACGGCGGUGUUUGGCACCUCGAUGUCGGCUCAUCACAUCCUGGGGCUGAAGCCGGUCCCAAGGGUAUGGCUGUUCGCCAUUUAAAGUGGUACGCGAGCUGGGUUUAGAACGUCGUGAGACAGUUCGGUCUCUAUCUGCCGUGGACGUUUGAGAUUUGAGAGGGGCUGCUCCUAGUACGAGAGGACCGGAGUGGACGAACCUCUGGUGUUCCGGUUGUCACGCCAGUGGCAUUGCCGGGUAGCUAUGUUCGGAAAAGAUAACCGCUGAAAGCAUCUAAGCGGGAAACUUGCCUCAAGAUGAGAUCUCACUGGGAACUUGAUUCCCCUGAAGGGCCGUCGAAGACUACGACGUUGAUAGGCUGGGUGUGUAAGCGUUGUGAGGCGUUGAGCUAACCAGUACUAAUUGCCCGUGAGGCUUGACCAU